Molecule: ribosomal RNA, 253 nt
Filed under: uncultured bacterium
Lineage: Bacteria
Description: partial 16S ribosomal RNA
Rfam family: Bacterial small subunit ribosomal RNA
Source: RNAcentral
UACGUAGGUGGCAAGCGUUACUCGGAAUCACUAGGCGUAAAGCGCAGGUAGGAGGUUUGGUAAGUCUAUUGUGAAAGCUCCCGGCUUAACUGGGAGAGGUCAAUGGAAACUACCAGGCUGGAGUGCGGUAGAGGUAGCUGGAAUUCCCGGUGUAGCGGUGAAAUGCGUAGAUAUCGGGAGGAAUACCUAUGGCGAAAGCAGGCUACUGGACCGUCACUGACUCUGAUCUGCGAAAGCUAGGGGAGCAAACAGG